AUACAGGGGGUGCGAGCGUUAAUCGGAAUUACUGGGCGUAAAGAGUACGUAGGCGGUUGCUUAAGUCAGAUGUGAAAGCCCCGGGCUCAACCUGGGAACUGCAUUUGAAACUGAGUGACUAGAGUUUAAGAGAGGGGAGUAGAAUUCCGGGUGUAGCGGUGAAAUGCGUAGAGAUCCGGAGGAAUACCAGUGGCGAAGGCGGCUCCCUGGCUUAAAACUGACGCUGAGGUACGAAAGCGUGGGUAGCAAACAGGAUUAGAAACCCGUGUAGUCC
This 274-nucleotide ribosomal RNA is filed under the name uncultured bacterium. Its description in RNAcentral is "partial 16S ribosomal RNA". It matches the Rfam family "Bacterial small subunit ribosomal RNA", at positions 523 to 796 of the family's 1533-position model. The record is from RNAcentral.